Molecule: long non-coding RNA, 740 nt
Organism: Oncorhynchus masou masou (cherry salmon)
Lineage: Eukaryota; Metazoa; Chordata; Actinopteri; Salmoniformes; Salmonidae
Exons: 3
Source: RefSeq, a predicted model, not a curated record
CCCCAGGGCCUGGUUCAAAACUCUGUUCUUGGACCGCUCACAAUAGUGGAAAACUCUGAAACCCAGAUCCCCAGUGAAUUUGGAAAAUAUCCUACUGUAGAACAAGUUGACUGGUUGGUGUAAUGGUCUGGAACACUUUGCUUGUCAGGGAUGGCUGUCUUUUCUGUCUCUACAGCCAUCUAAUUGUAGGUGGCCUGAAGGGUGCAUCACUAUCCCCAGUAUGGAUAUGAAGUCCUUUGACUUGAGCACGUUUCAAUAAAAUGAGUACUUUACAAUGGUGUUUGUUUCUAAUGGUUGUCAAAAUGCUUUGAUCCUGAUGAGAUGUACCCUAAAUCCAGUAGUGCGGCGCCGGUAUCUACACAAAAUAGCCAAGAUGUGACCAUCUGGUUGUAAGAAGAUGAUCUCAAUGAGAGUGCUCAGUGUUCUGGACUUCCCAGUGUCCUGAUUACUCUUGAACUGUAACACUUUCUUCUUUUGGCAUAAUUAGUUUGCUAAUGAUAGUCACAGCAGGUGUUCAUGCAAUGGUAACGCUAUUUGAAAGCUUGUCAUAAGUGAACCUGCUUAUUGUUGGCUAUACUUUUUCAGCAGUAGCCCACCCCAAGAUCAAAUUGACAAGCCAAGUUUAGAGAGGAGAGAACUGAGGCUGGAUCAACAGCAUUGUACAUAGUUACUCCACAAUACUUACCAAAAUUACAGAGUGAAGAGAAGGAAGUCUGUUCAGAAUAUAAUAUUCCAAAACA